This is a long non-coding RNA of Heterocephalus glaber (naked mole-rat), 555 nucleotides long. The record is from Ensembl. Lineage: Eukaryota; Metazoa; Chordata; Mammalia; Rodentia; Bathyergidae.
GCUCUGCCUCCCUGACAACCAUGUUGGGCCCUUCUGUUGGGACUUGGUUGCUGUUGGUUGCUAAAGGAGGCCAACAGAGGAGUAGAUACACCCAUGGCAUAUCAGUGCACAGCUUCCUGAGUUGGAGAGCUCCGUAGAGAUCAUUUAGGGCAGAGGUUUUCCAAAUGUGGGCUCCAACCAGCAGCAACCAUACCUCCUGGGGACUCAGGAGAAAUGUCCCUCUUCAGACCUACUGAGGCAGGAACUGGGAAGAAGAUUCUUCAAGAGGCUGCCACAUCCGACCUUGGCUUUGAAACUAACUGCAGCACCAGGAGAGGACCCUGGCCAAGAGUCUUGAUCUUCUGCAAGGUGAUACGGUGAAAGGUGAAAAGAAGACACAAAGAUCCACAGCAAAACAGAGAACUGGGAUGGACCACACCGAGCAUGUGGUGAGGACUCCAAGCAACCAGGACUGCCAGUAUUUAUUGAUUAUACAAGUAUGAGUAAAAUAGCGUCGGGGGAUAUGUGUGGCAUCUGGUGAUAUCAGCUGUCACAGGCAAGGCUUGAAAAGGGGGC